GCGGGAUUAGCUCAGUUGGUAGAGCGCGUCAUUUACACUGACGAUGUCGCGGGUUCGAGCCCUGCAUCCCGCACAA
This 76-nucleotide transfer RNA is filed under the name Candidatus Zambryskibacteria bacterium RIFCSPLOWO2_12_FULL_39_23. RNAcentral's name for it is "tRNA-Val". It matches the Rfam family "tRNA". Rfam says of the family: Transfer RNA (tRNA) molecules are approximately 80 nucleotides in length. Their secondary structure includes four short double-helical elements and three loops (D, anti-codon, and T loops). Further hydrogen bonds mediate the characteristic L-shaped molecular structure. tRNAs have two regions of fundamental functional importance: the anti-codon, which is responsible for specific mRNA codon recognition, and the 3' end, to which the tRNAs corresponding amino acid is attached (by aminoacyl-tRNA synthetases). tRNAs cope with the degeneracy of the genetic code in two manners: having more than one tRNA (with a specific anti-codon) for a particular amino acid; and 'wobble' base-pairing, i.e. permitting non-standard base-pairing at the 3rd anti-codon position. The record is from RNAcentral. Lineage: Bacteria; Candidatus Zambryskiibacteriota.